This 235-nucleotide long non-coding RNA is filed under the name Vigna radiata. RNAcentral's name for it is "long non-coding RNA (VRAD_LNC016075)". The record is from RNAcentral. Lineage: Eukaryota; Viridiplantae; Streptophyta; Magnoliopsida; Fabales; Fabaceae.
AGUGUAUAUAUGUGUUUAUUUUACGAAAGAAAAAUAUAUAUAAAUGGGUAAUAUGUGUAUGCACAUGAUUAUAUGCUUCUCGAUUUUGUUUUUAUAAAGAAGGGAAUGAUGAAUUCUGCAUGCAGAGAGGGUCGCAUAUAUAUAUAUAAAAGUGUAAUGAGAAUUGUAUUUUAUGUUGUGAUGUGCCCGGUGAAGCUCCUGGAAGUGUGGUGGAAGUAGCACUGGUACUUGUCCG